Molecule: ribosomal RNA, 468 nt
Filed under: uncultured bacterium
Lineage: Bacteria
Description: partial 16S ribosomal RNA
Rfam family: Bacterial small subunit ribosomal RNA
Source: RNAcentral
GACGAACGCUGGCGGCGUGCUUAACACAUGCAAGUCGAACGGAAAGGCCCUGCUUUUGUGGGGUGCUCGAGUGGCGAACGGGUGAGUAACACGUGAGUAACCUGCCCUUGACUUUGGGAUAACUUCAGGAAACUGGGGCUAAUACCGGAUAGGAGCUCCUGCUGCAUGGUGGGGGUUGGAAAGUUUCGGCGGUUGGGGAUGGACUCGCGGCUUAUCAGCUUGUUGGUGGGGUAGUGGCUUACCAAGGCUUUGACGGGUAGCCGGCCUGAGAGGGUGACCGGCCACCUUGGGACUUAGGUACGGCCCAGACUCCUACGGGGGGCAGCAGUGGGGAAUAUUGCACAAUGGGCGGAAGCCUGAUGCAGCAACGCCGCGUGCGGGAUGACGGCCUUCGGGUUGUAAACCGCUUUCGCCUGUGACGAAGCGUGAGUGACGGUAAUGGGUAAAGAAGCACCGGCUAACUACGUG